UACAGAGGGCCCGAGCGUUGUUCGGAUUCAUUGGGCGUAAAGGGUGCGUAGGCGGCGGGGUAAGUCUGAUGUGAAAUCCCGGGGCUCAACCCCGGAACUGCAUUGGAUACUGCCUUGCUAGAGUACUGGAGAGGGAACUGGAAUUUACGGUGUAGCAGUGAAAUGCGUAGAGAUCGUAAGGAAGGCCAGUGGCGAAGGCGAGUUCCUGGACAGUUACUGACGCUGAGGCACGAAGGCCAGGGGAGCAAACGGG
RNAcentral lists this ribosomal RNA (253 nucleotides) under uncultured bacterium. Its description in RNAcentral is "partial 16S ribosomal RNA". It matches the Rfam family "Bacterial small subunit ribosomal RNA", at positions 524 to 776 of the family's 1533-position model. The record is from RNAcentral.